GCAGGCUGCAACUCGCCUGCAUGAAGUCGGAAUUGCUAGUAAUCGCGGAUCAGCAUGCCGCGGUGAAUACGUUCCCGGGUCUUGUACACACCGCCCGUCACACCACGAGAGUUUGCAACACCCGAAGUCGGUGAGGCAACCCGUCCAGGGAGCCAGCCGCCGAAGGUGGGGCAGAUGAUUGGGGUGAAGUCGUAACAAGGUAGCCGUAUCGGAAGGUGCGGCUGGAUCACCUCCUUUCUACGGAG
Molecule: ribosomal RNA, 245 nt
Filed under: Bacillus thermozeamaize
Lineage: Bacteria; Bacillati; Bacillota; Bacilli; Caryophanales; Bacillaceae
Description: partial 16S ribosomal RNA
Rfam family: Bacterial small subunit ribosomal RNA
Source: RNAcentral